Molecule: ribosomal RNA, 253 nt
Filed under: uncultured bacterium
Lineage: Bacteria
Description: partial 16S ribosomal RNA
Rfam family: Bacterial small subunit ribosomal RNA
Source: RNAcentral
UACGUAGGGUGCAAGCGUUGUCCGGAAUUAUUGGGCGUAAAGCGCGUGUAGGCGGUCCGGUAAGUCCGCUGUGAAAGUCGGGGGCUCAACCCUCGAAUGCCGGUGGAUACUGUCGGGCUCGAGUGCGGAAGAGGCGAGUGGAAUUCCUGGUGUAGCGGUGAAAUGCGCAGAUAUCAGGAGGAACACCAAUUGCGAAGGCAGCUCGCUGGGACGUUACUGACGCUGAGACGCGAAAGCGUGGGGAGCAAACAGG